CUUGCUCUUAUGGGUGGCGAGUGGCGGACGGGUGAGGAAUACAUCGGAAUCUACCUUUUCGUGGGGGAUAACGUAGGGAAACUUACGCUAAUACCGCAUACGACCUUCGGGUGAAAGCAGGGGACCUUCGGGCCUUGCGCGGAUAGAUGAGCCGAUGUCGGAUUAGCUAGUUGGCGGGGUAAAGGCCCACCAAGGCGACGAUCCGUAGCUGGUCUGAGAGGAUGAUCAGCCACACUGGAACUGAGACACGGUCCAGACUCCUACGGGAGGCAGCAGUGGGGAAUAUUGGACAAUGGGCGCAAGCCUGAUCCAGCCAUACCGCGUGGGUGAAGAAGGCCUUCGGGUUGUAAAGCCCUUUUGUUGGGAAAGAAAAGCAGUCGAUUAAUACUCGGUUGUUCUGACGGUACCCAAAGAAUAAGCACCGGCUAACUUCGUGCCAGCAGCCGCGGUAAUACGAAGGGUGCAAGCGUUACUCGGAAUUACUGGGCGUAAAGCGUGCGUAGGUGGUUGUUUAAGUCUGUUGUGAAAGCCCUGGGCUCAACCUGGGAAUUGCAGUGGAUACUGGGCGACUAGAGUGUGGUAGAGGGUAGUGGAAUUCC
Molecule: ribosomal RNA, 599 nt
Filed under: Stenotrophomonas rhizophila
Lineage: Bacteria; Pseudomonadati; Pseudomonadota; Gammaproteobacteria; Lysobacterales; Lysobacteraceae
Description: bacterial SSU rRNA
Rfam family: Bacterial small subunit ribosomal RNA
Source: RNAcentral